This 484-nucleotide ribosomal RNA is filed under the name uncultured bacterium. Its description in RNAcentral is "partial 16S ribosomal RNA". It matches the Rfam family "Bacterial small subunit ribosomal RNA", at positions 30 to 507 of the family's 1533-position model. The record is from RNAcentral.
AUUGAACGCUGGCGGCAGGCCUAACACAUGCAAGUCGAGCGGAUGAAGGGAGCUUGCUCCUGGAUUCAGCGGCGGACGGGUGAGUAAUGCCUAGGAAUCUGCCUGGUAGUGGGGGAUAACGUCCGGAAACGGGCGCUAAUACCGCAUACGUCCUGAGGGAGAAAGUGGGGGAUCUUCGGACAUCACGCUAUCAGAUGAGCCUAGGUCGGAUUAGCUAGUUGGUGGGGUAAAGGCCUACCAAGGCGACGAUCGGUAACUGGUCGGAGAGGAUGAUCAGUCACACUGGAACUGAGACACGGUCCAGACUCCUACGGGAGGCAGCAGUGGGGAAUAUUGGACAAUGGGCGAAAGCCUGAUCCAGCCAGGCCGCGUGUGUGAAGAAGGUCUUCGGAUUGUAAAGCACUUUAAGUUGGGAGGAAGGGCAGUAAGUUAAUACCUUGCUGUUUUGACGUUACCAACAGAAUAAGCACCGGCUAAUUUCGUG